This 175-nucleotide ribosomal RNA is filed under the name uncultured bacterium. Its description in RNAcentral is "partial 16S ribosomal RNA". It matches the Rfam family "Bacterial small subunit ribosomal RNA", at positions 335 to 528 of the family's 1533-position model. The record is from RNAcentral.
AACCUACGGGAGGCAGCAGUGGGGAAUAUUGGACAAUGGGGGCAACCCUGAUCCAGCGACGCCGCGUGAGUGAAGAAGUAUCUCGGUACGUAAAGCUCUAUCAGCAGGGAAGAAAAAGACGGUACCUGACUAAGAAGCCCCGGCUAACUACGUGCCAGCAGCCGCGGUAAUGGUU